This 497-nucleotide ribosomal RNA is filed under the name uncultured bacterium. RNAcentral's name for it is "partial 16S ribosomal RNA". It matches the Rfam family "Bacterial small subunit ribosomal RNA", at positions 28 to 507 of the family's 1533-position model. The record is from RNAcentral.
GAUGAACGCUGGCGGCGUGCCUAAUACAUGCAAGUCGAGCGAACAGACGAGGAGCUUGCUCCUCUGACGUUAGCGGCGGACGGGUGAGUAACACGUGGAUAACCUACCUAUAAGACUGGGAUAACUUCGGGAAACCGGAGCUAAUACCGGAUAAUAUAUUGAACCGCAUGGUUCAAUAGUGAAAGACGGUUUUGCUGUCACUUAUAGAUGGAUCCGCGCCGCAUUAGCUAGUUGGUAAGGUAACGGCUUACCAAGGCAACGAUGCGUAGCCGACCUGAGAGAGUGAUCGGCCAAACUGGAACUGAGACACGGUCCAGACUCCUACGAGAGGCAGCAGUAGGAAAUCUUCAGCAAUGGGCGAGAGCCUGACGGAGCAACGCCGCGUGAGUGAUGAAGGUCUUCGGAUCGUAAAACUCUGUUAUAAGGGAAGAAAAAAUGUGUAAGUAACUAUGCACGUCUUGACGGUACCUAAUCAGAAAGCCACGGCUAACUACGUG